RNAcentral lists this ribosomal RNA (318 nucleotides) under uncultured soil bacterium. RNAcentral describes it as "bacterial SSU rRNA". It matches the Rfam family "Bacterial small subunit ribosomal RNA", at positions 26 to 359 of the family's 1533-position model. The record is from RNAcentral.
AGGACGAACGCUGGCGGCGUGCCUAAUACAUGCAAGUCUAAGGGGGUGUACAUCCUUCGGGGUGUGCAUCACUGGCGCACGGGUGAGUAACGCGUAAGUUAUCUGCCCCUGGGUCUGGCAUAACCUCGGGAAACCGGGACUAAUUCCAGAUGAUACCGAAAGGUCAAAGCUUCGGCGCCCAGGGAUGAGCUUGCGUCUGAUUAGCUUGUUGGCGGGGUAAUGGCCCACAAGGCUUCGAUCAGUAGCCGGUCUGAGAGGAUGAUCGGCCACAUUGGGACUGAGACACGGCCCAGACUCCUACGGGAGGCAGCAGUAAGG